This 494-nucleotide ribosomal RNA is filed under the name uncultured bacterium. RNAcentral's name for it is "bacterial SSU rRNA". It matches the Rfam family "Bacterial small subunit ribosomal RNA", at positions 903 to 1397 of the family's 1533-position model. The record is from RNAcentral.
AAAGGAAUAGACGGGGACCCGCACAAGCGGUGGAGUAUGUGGCUUAAUUCGAUGCAACGCGAAGAACCUUACCAAGGCUUGACAUGGAUUUCUAAGCACGUGAAAGCGUGUGACCCUUCGGGGGACUUCCACAGGUGCUGCAUGGCCGUCGUCAGCUCGUGUCGUGAGAUGUUGGGUUAAGUCCCGCAACGAGCGCAACCCCUGUGAUUAGUUGCCAGCACGUAAUGGUGGGGACUCUAGUCAGACUGCCCAGAUCAACUGGGAGGAAGGUGGGGACGACGUCAGGUCAGUAUGGCCCUUACGCCUUGGGCUGCACACGUACUACAAUGCCCAGCACAAUGAGAACCGAGACCGCGAGGUGGAGGAAAUCUGUAAAACUGGGCCCAGUUCGGAUUGGAGGCUGCAACUCGCCUCCAUGAAGCCGGAAUCGCUAGUAAUGCUGCAUCAGCUACGGCAGCGUGAAUACGUUCCCGGGUCUUGUACACACCGCCCGU